RNAcentral lists this long non-coding RNA (591 nucleotides) under Nicotiana tabacum (common tobacco). RNAcentral's name for it is "long non-coding RNA (NTAB_LNC006573)". The record is from RNAcentral. Lineage: Eukaryota; Viridiplantae; Streptophyta; Magnoliopsida; Solanales; Solanaceae.
CAGAGAAUAGAACCUGGAUAUUCGACUCCUGCAGGCCUUUGCAAAUUCCAACAGGGGAUGCUCUGCACUGCUUGCUUGUACGCCUCACGCUCGUCUCUAACUGGGUUGUAGUUGAGAGCAUCGAGCAUUUGCUGUCACUUCUUUAACGAUAGACGCCUUAAAGGUCGCCAGAUAGUUAGCUGAUGUGGUUGUAUCUCGCCAGAACCGGCUGGGAUGUCCUAGCCGAAACUCCACAUGUACAAUGUGACACUCUAUGGCGUGUUUAUGGGCCCCGCUGAAAAAAUCCUAGUCUUGCCAUCUGCGCGCGCACACAACAGAAAACUAAAAACAAAAAAUAAAAAGCAAAAAAAAACGUGGAGGGGACCAAAAAGAUAGAGCAAGGAAGAGGAGAUAAAGUAAAGGAAGUAGGGAUAAGGAACAAUGGCAAUCGCCAGAUCUGUCAGGCAGUCGGCGAUGGGGUAGCAGCUGGGGAAAAAAAGAAAAGAAAACAGAAGAUAGAGUAGGGGAAUGAGAUAAGGGGGAUGAGAGAGGGGGGAGAGGAAGGAUAUGGGUAAAGAGGGCAAGAACUUACCUGGUGGUAGUGGUCGUCGC